RNAcentral lists this long non-coding RNA (711 nucleotides) under Trifolium pratense (red clover). RNAcentral's name for it is "long non-coding RNA (TPRA_LNC012163)". Lineage: Eukaryota; Viridiplantae; Streptophyta; Magnoliopsida; Fabales; Fabaceae. The record is from RNAcentral.
CAAUCGAAAUUCUUCAAACCCGUACCCAUAACUUUCUGCAGUUAUGGGUAAAGCAAACAGAAUCUCAAACCGAGUUAUAGAGAGGGCGCAGUUAACCUUUAAGUGUAGCACUGUCCAAACACAUUUUCUGCAGAAAUCCUGUUUCGUAUCUUCAACUUUAACAUCACCUACAUAACGCAUUGUAACUCCGAAUCCGAUGAAAUUUGAUAUUCCAACAAGGGUAAAUUCGUUAGCUUUACAGAACUUAAAGAAUUAACGAGUUACAGGGAAGGAGUACUUAUUGUUUUUCUGAAAGUAUAUCCAAAAACGAAAUUCAACACAAUCUCUUUCAAAAGUCACCAAUCAAAACUUCAAGCUUCAAGCAUGAACCCAUGACUCCUUGACUACUAUAUCUCACAUACAAGCUCUCAAUUAAAAAAGGAAGGGAGUACUCAUCAGAUUUUGGUUGAAUAAUUAAAAAGGGAAAUUACAAGGAUUCUGUUAAAGAAAAGGAAAAGGUAAGUUUGUUACCUUGUUUACUUAUGGCUAGAGAAGUUGCUACCUUUCCUUAGUUCCAAGCUUGAAUUGAAGAGAAUGGUUAGAGUGAGAGGGAGUAGGCGUGAGAGGAAGAGGGAGUAUUGGAAUGGUUACUGAGAAAUGAAUUUGAUAGAAAAUGGGUGAUCUUGGAGUGGUUAGGCAAUUAAAUACUCUUCAUGCUCAAAUUACCAACUU